This 900-nucleotide ribosomal RNA is filed under the name uncultured rumen archaeon. Its description in RNAcentral is "bacterial SSU rRNA". The stretch from base 55 to 517 matches the Rfam family "Archaeal small subunit ribosomal RNA", at positions 27 to 491 of the family's 1478-position model. The record is from RNAcentral.
CUAGUAGGCGGAAUGAUCANACUAGUAUGAGGAGGUUGAUNCUGGGUGAGGCUACUGCUAUUGGGGUUCGAUAUAUCAUGCAAGUCGAAGGAAUCUUUGCAAUCGUGGCUAACGGUUCAGUAACACGUGGAUAACCUACACUUAGGACUGGUAUAACCCUGGGAAACUGGGGACAAUCCCGGAUAGGUGAUUUUUUCUGUAAUGAUUUUUCAUUUAAAUGCUCUGGCGCCUGAGGAUGGGUCUGCGGCAGAUUAGGUAGCUGGCAGGGUAAUGUCCUACCAAGCCCGUGAUCUGUACGGGUUGUGAGAGCAAGAGCCCGGAUAUGGAACCUGAGACGAGGUUCCAGGCCCUACAGGGAGCACCAGGCGCGAAAACUCCGCAAUGCGAGAAAUCUCGACUGGGGGACCCCAAGUGCCACUCUUGACGGGGUGGCUUUUCUCAGAUGUAAAAAUCUUUUUUAAUAGGCCUGGUAUAAACCCGAGACAGCCGCCUCGAGAAUUCCGGUAACUUCUUGUGGGGAUCAAUCUUUUAUUUGGUCCUACAAGGUUCCGAGCCAGGUUGUAAAAUCUCUGGAGACAUCCAUGUANCCUUCUCGCUGGAAAUUGGCGCUAUCUUCNAUUGAACUUGAGGCUCGGAGAGGGUCACGGUCCCCCCAGGUAUGGGUUAAAUCUGAUAUCCUGUGGGACACCUGGGGACAAGGGGCUCAUGUAAAGAUUUGACGUGAGGUAGUAACCCGGGGUCAUACCGAAUUAAAACCGAGUUUCUGCUCAACUAAGGCCAUGUUCUGGGUGACUCAUCUGUUUACUCAAUGGCAGUUAGCUCCCACCAAAGUCUCCCAAAUUAACUAUAAUUCGGUGAACUACCACUUGGACGCGUAUAUCUUAUCGAAUUACUGGAUUG